RNAcentral lists this long non-coding RNA (262 nucleotides) under Brassica napus (rape). RNAcentral's name for it is "long non-coding RNA (BNAP_LNC010565)". The record is from RNAcentral. Lineage: Eukaryota; Viridiplantae; Streptophyta; Magnoliopsida; Brassicales; Brassicaceae.
GUGCAACCAAUGAUUUAGAUGGGUUUUAAACUACUACUAAUACUAAAAAGCAAUUACAGAAUGAUACUUUCUUAACUAAGGAAAAGAGAACUCAUGGGUAUAGGGAUUAGACCUUGGGUGAUCAAGUUUCGAACUAAGGAUGGCAAACGAUAAAUCAAACUAUCAACCUUAAGCUUAGACACAAUCUUAAACAAACUCUAUGUCUAGAUGAAUGUUCAUUUACUAACAUACCUCAAACAUCAAAUGUCUUUGGUUGAAUAAU